Planococcus citri (citrus mealybug) is the source of this 1022-nucleotide long non-coding RNA. RefSeq lists it as uncharacterized. NCBI's taxonomy places the organism in Eukaryota, Metazoa, Arthropoda, Insecta, Hemiptera, Pseudococcidae. The record is from RefSeq and is a predicted model, not a curated record. The transcript has 2 exons.
UUAUAUGCUCAACUCGAUUCUCCAGCGCUGCCCAAAGCCCAAACUUGAAGCAAUCACCGGUUGCAGUCAGUGAGUUUGGGUCAGCAAAUAGAUAGGUAGGUAUAUAUCUGUGCCAGCAGUCCUUGGACCUUGGACUUUGGGUUUUGAUGUUCAUUUUAAACAUUCUUCAGGAUAGUUUAUUUCAUUUCUUUUCUUGUUUAGUUGUUUUAAAAUAAUUUUAGAAAUUAUAAAGCAAAUAUGUCGGACGAAAUAUCAAAGCAAACUAUCCAAAUUAUACUGGAUCAAUUACAGAAGACGCAGAAGGAAAAAGCUCGCCUAGAAGAACAGUUGAAUCGAGUAAAAAAAUACAAACUGUUACUUAGCGUUCGUGGAAGAAUUGAAAGAUUAGAUUAGAAUUGUUAUUCCAAGGCAAAGAAUUAUUGAAUGGCAAAAAGUAUUCGAGAGUAGAAACAUGGUUAGCAAUACUCAAAUUCAGUGAACACCGAUUAGUUGACGAUCUACGAAACGAAAUAUUUAGAAGUGGGUUGACAAUCAACGACUUUUGCCAAUGUAUUGGAAUUAUUUACAGUGAUUCAUCAGAUAGAGUGGUACGCGGUGUUCCUUUACCCCAGGAUAUACAAGAUUUGGAUAUUACCGGAGUCGUCAAGUUAUUAAAAGUCGAUAAUGAAGAACCAAUUGAGAAGACAUUGCAUAUAUUGGUGAAAAAAUUGAAGUUAUAAUCGAUAAAGCUGACGUAGUCCAACCUGCUGAAGAAAGUACUACCUACAUCGAAGUUGCAGAAUCGAAUACUGAAGAAAGUAAUGGAAGUAUUUGAGUUGGUUAAAAUCAUAAUACAAAAAUAAUGAUGAAUAGUAGUUCAUUGUGUUUAUUUUUGUGUGAAUAAUUCGCAUUCGAAUUAAUUUUUAUCUGGAUUUGCAUUGUAAUCUGUUUCUGUAUACAUAUUUUUGUCCUACUCGCAUUAUUUAUAAGUAUCCUAGGAUCAUUAUUGUAUAUUGCAUUGAAUAUAGUAUGCCGUACGAAUA